Molecule: long non-coding RNA, 692 nt
Filed under: Brassica napus (rape)
Lineage: Eukaryota; Viridiplantae; Streptophyta; Magnoliopsida; Brassicales; Brassicaceae
Description: long non-coding RNA (BNAP_LNC024629)
Source: RNAcentral
ACUCCGUUGCAGACACUGUUGGAACUCCUCCAUACCUCUCACCGGAAGAUCAUAAGGCAGCAGAGAAAAGUGUUCCGCAUCCGUCAAUAUUUGAUUAAAAUCACCCAUUAGUACUAGCGGAGACUCAGCCACCAAGUGAUUACUAGAAAGCGUAACUAGAUCUCUCCACAGGUUACUUCUUUCUGCCUAUGUAUUAUGCGCAUACACAAAGGCUACUGUGCACUCUACUCCGGUCGCAGGAUCAAUCACCCCACACACAAUAAACUGAUCCGUUUUUAGAUACACCACUACUGAUAAAGACGGUCUCCACAAAAGCCAGAUUUUACCUCCUGCGGCUUCCGAGUAAUUAUUCUCGAACCUCCACCCUGGAGCCACUGCCCCUAAAACACUGAGAAAAUUCUCCUCCUGUACAUGUGUUUCAAGCAAGGCCCCAACAGACGUCCCCAAACUCUGCAACCAACUUCUCACUACCCUCUAACGACCACUACCAUUCACACCUCUGAUAUUCCAACUAAAAAGCUUUAUAUGUACAAAUUGGGGCUUCAAGAAUUAUUUUCUAAGCUUCCUACCCGAGGUAGAUCCCCGCAUAACGCCUCCAUAAGCUUUUCGUAGUUCUUGCUGUCUCAAAGCCCGCCGAUAGCUCUUAGAGUGCUUAGUAAUCCACACUGAUUCCUCCUCUUUAGACUCAAAAG